CGGACGGGUGAGUAACGCGUGGAUAACCUGCCGUAUACUGGGGGAUAACACUUAGAAAUAGGUGCUAAUACCGCAUAAGCGCACAGUCUCGCAUGAGACGGUGUGAAAAACUCCGGUGGUAUACGAUGGAUCCGCGUCUGAUUAGCUUGUUGGCGGGGGUAACAGCCCACCAAGGCGACGAUCAGUAGCCGGCCUGAGAGGGUGAACGGCCACAUUGGGACUGAGACACGGCCCAAACUCCUACGGAAGGCAGCAG
Molecule: ribosomal RNA, 256 nt
Filed under: uncultured bacterium
Lineage: Bacteria
Description: partial 16S ribosomal RNA
Rfam family: Bacterial small subunit ribosomal RNA
Source: RNAcentral